RNAcentral lists this ribosomal RNA (616 nucleotides) under uncultured Legionella sp. RNAcentral describes it as "bacterial SSU rRNA". It matches the Rfam family "Bacterial small subunit ribosomal RNA", at positions 242 to 849 of the family's 1533-position model. Lineage: Bacteria; Pseudomonadati; Pseudomonadota; Gammaproteobacteria; Legionellales; Legionellaceae. The record is from RNAcentral.
UAGCUAGUUGGUGGGGUAAGGGCCUACCAAGGCGACGAUCGGUAGCUGGUCUGAGAGGAUGACCAGCCACACUGGAACUGAGACACGGUCCAGACUCCUACGGGAGGCAGCAGUGGGGAAUAUUGGACAAUGGGGGCAACCCUGAUCCAGCAAUGCCGCGUGUGUGAAGAAGGCCUGAGGGUUGUAAAGCACUUUCAGUGGGGGGGAGGGUUGAUAGGUUAAGAGCUGAUUAACUGGACGUUACCCACAGAAGAAGCACCGGCUAACUCCGUGCCAGCAGCCGCGGUAAUACGGAGGGUGCGAGCGUUAAUCGGAAUUACUGGGCGUAAAGGGUGCGUAGGUGGUUGAUUAAGUUAUCUGUGAAAUUCCUGGGCUUAACCUGGGACGGUCAGAUAAUACUGGUUGACUCGAGUAUGGGAGAGGGUAGUGGAAUUUCCGGUGUAGCGGUGAAAUGCGUAGAGAUCGGAAGGAACACCAGUGGCGAAGGCGGCUACCUGGCCUAAUACUGACACUGAGGCACGAAAGCGUGGGGAGCAAACAGGAUUAGAUACCCUGGUAGUCCACGCUGUAAACGAUGUCAACUAGCUGUUGGUUAUAUGAAAAUAAUUAGUGGCGC